Molecule: transfer RNA, 24 nt
Filed under: Nymphoides indica
Lineage: Eukaryota; Viridiplantae; Streptophyta; Magnoliopsida; Asterales; Menyanthaceae
Description: partial tRNA-Leu
Source: RNAcentral
ACUUAAAAUCCGUCGAUUUUCAAA